RNAcentral lists this ribosomal RNA (482 nucleotides) under uncultured bacterium. RNAcentral's name for it is "partial 16S ribosomal RNA". It matches the Rfam family "Bacterial small subunit ribosomal RNA", at positions 30 to 507 of the family's 1533-position model. The record is from RNAcentral.
AUUGAACGCUGGCGGCAUGCCUUACACAUGCAAGUCGAACGGUAACAGGUCUUCGGAUGCUGACGAGUGGCGAACGGGUGAGUAAUACAUCGGAACGUGCCCGAUCGUGGGGGAUAACGGAGCGAAAGCUUUGCUAAUACCGCAUACGACCUACGGAUGAAAGCAGGGGACCGCAAGGCCUUGCGCGGACGGAGCGGCCGAUGGCAGAUUAGGUAGUUGGUGGGAUAAAAGCUUACCAAGCCGACGAUCUGUAGCUGGUCUGAGAGGACGACCAGCCACACUGGGACUGAGACACGGCCCAGACUCCUACGGGAGGCAGCAGUGGGGAAUUUUGGACAAUGGGCGAAAGCCUGAUCCAGCCAUGCCGCGUGCAGGAUGAAGGCCUUCGGGUUGUAAACUGCUUUUGUACGGAACGAAAAGACUCUUUCUAAUAAAGAGGGUCCAUGACGGUACCGUAAGAAUAAGCACCGGCUAACUACGUG